CCACAAUCUAUAUCCAUAUUUUUACAUAAAAAAAAGUAAGACGUGAUGGGAUUUUCACUAUUUUAGACACGAUAAAAUUAGAUACUGACAUUAGCGAUGGCCAAUCGAGGCUUCAUUACCGUUCUUCUAGCAGCAGGAUAUUAUGCUAGCAAUACAACUAAGUGAAGAUAGGACUUACCACUCUGAUGGACGCACACAGGCUUUGACUACGAAAUGGAAGUUGACCAUGAGGGAAAUCAGGGGAGAGAACUUCUCAAUCUUAGGUCAUUACGGCAAUACCUAUGGCAAGCCGUUUUAUGAUUUAUUCGCUAUACUUGACUCUCCGGAAUUAACAUGACAGAUAUGAACUGUCAUGUCCUCCCUUCCCUGAGGUGCUCUGUCUUGGUUGCUCCAGGUUGUCAGGGCAACGCAUUAAGGGGCGUGGCGUCACUCUUUUGAAUAGAGCCGGUACCAGCUGUUCCCUAUCCCCAAUCACACACCUGUUCCCGCUUGACUCAUCACCGGCUGUAUAUCUGAGGAGCCCUGACGACCCGUCCCUGCCGGAUCGUUGAUCCACAUCCGAAUCUUCCUGACAACCUUCACCAGCCCGUGUAUCGACCUCCUGCCUGUCCAAGACGACUCUGCCUACUCCCUGUCUGUACCUCUGUCGCCAGCCCGUGUACCGAAACUCUGCUUGCCCACGACUACCCUCUCAUAUUAAAUUGAUUUUUACCGCACUCAUCCGGUCUGCGUUUGGGUUCCUUUCAGAUCUGACAGAACGAUCCGGCCUCUAUGAACCCAGCGGAUCUGGAUGCCGUCCGUCAGGCUGUGUCGAUGCAGGGCACCCUAUUAGGACACCACAGCACCUCGCUUCAGGAGAUAAUGACUAGCCUGCAAAACCUGUCUACCAGCGUGGCGGCUAUCCAGGAGCGACUCAAUGCAUCCGCCGAGCCCCCGGCCCCUGCUUCAGAUGUUGAAUAUUUACUUGGAAAGAACAGAGCACUUUAUACACAUGAAAAACAAAAAAAAAGGGCUGGCUAUGCAGAAAAACGUAACUCACCACAGAUGAACACACACAGAGACAUGGAACAAUGACCGACCAAUGAGGGGAGCAGAGGAGCAACAUUUAAAUACAUACUGAUGACUUAAUUGGGACCCAACGCCUUGGUGGCAGACAGUCCUCGGCAGGUUCUGGCGGCGGCAACCACUGGGCACCCGGCGGGUUCUGGCAGCGUCCGCCACUGGAGAGCAGGAGGAGCCGGCGGCGUCCGCCACUGGAGAGCAGGAGGAGCCGGCGGCGUCCGCCACUGGAGAGCAGGAGGAGCCGGCGGCGUCCGCCACUGGAGAGCAGGAGUAGCCGGCGGCGUCCGCCACUGGAGAGCAGGAGGAGCUUGCGGCGUCCGCCAAUGGAGAGCAGGAGGAGCUUGCGGUGUCGGCCACUGGGCAGCAGGGAGUGCAGGCUCCGGCUUCUGGACAGCAGGAAGUACCCGGCGCCUUGGAGCUGGCACCGGGCGUAGAGCAGGCGUUGGCGAGGUGCAGAGGCGGGCCGCAGACGCCAGCAUGUGGGCACUCUCCCCGUCCUUGGGGAAGGCCGGGACCACCUGGCACAGGACAGGGUCCCAAACCAGCAGCCCCUCCCUAUCUUACUCAUCAAAAUCCCUGUGCGUAUCCCUGUGACCAUGGCGGAGUGUGUUUACACACCUGCAGGUUCCCUUACUUUCUGGGUCGUGGUGGAGAGAAAGGAACCAGACGCAGGCAGAGUGGCAGUCGAUGUUGAAUAUUUACUUGGAAAUAACAAAGAGCACUUUAAACACACGAAAACAAAAGGGCUGGCUAUGCAGAAAACCGUAACUCACCAAAGAUGAACACACAGCAACAUGGAACAAUGACUGACCAAUGAGGGGAGCAGAGGAGCAACAUUUAAAC
Esox lucius (northern pike) is the source of this 1905-nucleotide long non-coding RNA. NCBI's taxonomy places the organism in Eukaryota, Metazoa, Chordata, Actinopteri, Esociformes, Esocidae. The record is from Ensembl.